GGCCUGCUAGCUCAGUCGGUUAGAGCGUCGGUGCUAAUAACGCGAAGGUCGUAGGUUCGAUCCCUGCGCAGGCCA
RNAcentral lists this transfer RNA (75 nucleotides) under Haemaphysalis longicornis (longhorned tick). It matches the Rfam family "tRNA". From Rfam's summary of the family: Transfer RNA (tRNA) molecules are approximately 80 nucleotides in length. Their secondary structure includes four short double-helical elements and three loops (D, anti-codon, and T loops). The record is from Rfam by way of RNAcentral. Lineage: Eukaryota; Metazoa; Arthropoda; Arachnida; Ixodida; Ixodidae.